Molecule: non-coding RNA, 109 nt
Organism: Acanthosepion pharaonis
Lineage: Eukaryota; Metazoa; Mollusca; Cephalopoda; Sepiida; Sepiidae
Source: the annotation of a GenBank genome assembly
UUACGGCCACAUCACUUCGAAACACCACUUCCUGUGCAGUCACCAAAGUUAAGCAACAUUGAGCUCGGUCAGUACCUAGAUGGGUGACCACUUGGGAAUACCAGGGGCU